Non-coding RNA from Saimiri boliviensis boliviensis (Bolivian squirrel monkey), 1900 nucleotides. Lineage: Eukaryota; Metazoa; Chordata; Mammalia; Primates; Cebidae. The record is from RefSeq and is a predicted model, not a curated record.
CCCACGGAUUGUGCCAUUGGAGGCCCAGAGGGGGCACAGCAUGGCAUACCAAGGUCACGUGGCCUCAUGUCUCCCAUUCAUCGCACACGAAAUGCCUGCCCUCUCUGGGCCCUAAGACCUAUUGCCAGCCCCACAGGCCAAAAAGCUUCUGUUUCCGAAGCUGCUGUCAGGGGCUUAAGCCAGGCCUCACGGAGAGGGGUGGCAUGCAGGAAAGAGAAGAGAUGCCCCUGUUUUUACCACGUCCCUGCCCUGUGCUCAGGGUAGGCCUGGACCCCAAGGUUCAACUUUUUUCACCCCACCAGGAAGAUGCUUCUGCGGCCGCCGUUUCACAGACGGGAAAGUGACAAGCACCUGCCUGGAGGCCCUCUGACCACCGCCAGCCUCUGCUGGUCUCCCUGCAGACUGCCACUCGGAGAGGGCUGGCCCACGAGGGACUCCUGGGCACAGCACGCUCAACAUGGACCCGUGAAUGAAUGCAUUUGCUGUUCCCAGUGCACCAAGAACACUGUCACCCCACCUCUGCCCAAGGCAACACCUCAGGUCUCAGCCCAAAGGCUGCCUCCUCCAGGAAACAGCCCCCGUCCAGUCUCCCCAUGGGAAGCCCAGCCCCUCAGUCGCUCCUCUCGCACCCACUGCUGUCGCCAUUCUUACCAGGAUCAGAAUUAUCUCACCUGCCCAUCUUGCUGUGUGUUCCCGUGGCCUUCACUACUAUGUCCCCGGUGCCUAGAACAGAGCCUGGGACACAGAAGGUGUUCAGUGAAUGAAUAAUGGAGGAGGCUGAGAAGAAGGAGAGGUUCCUCAUUAGCUGGCUAUGUGACCUUAGGCAAAAAGGCUUCCCUCUCUGAGCCGCAGCACUCGCCCACAUGCCCCCUUCUGGAUUCUGAAGAGAUGCAAUGAGAUUUGGGGAACUGAAGAUAAGGACACUGAGGCCCAGAAGAACUAAGUGUGUCUGCCCCAAGUCACACGGAAGGAUGAGAAGGAACAAAAUCUGCCCAGCCCGACUUUCCCCCUUUGGGGUUGUCAUUACAGGCCUGGCAAUGUGAGUCCCACCUUCUGGAGAGGAAAACUGAGGCCCAGAGAAGAGUAGCCCAGAGGGUCUCACGCUGUGGGUUAAGUGUUACUCAGACCCUGAGGGCCAGCCCCCAAAGACCAGACUCAGCCCCGCAGGGGUCCAAGCCCUAUGGCCUCCAGCGAGGAGCAUGCUUGCCACCCUUCCCCGCCCUCCACCCCCUGCCGGGGAUGACCCAUCCCUUCUCAGGGCAGGUCCCACCCCGGUGCCACCCCAGGUGUCCUGCAGCAAAGCUGCAAGCUAGGAUGACGUAAGCCCUUGUUUUUACAAGGCUGUUGCUCAACAGGCCCUGCCUGCUGCUUCCCUACCCCCAGCCCGGUCCUGUUCAGCCUUUCCUCAGGGAGGAUGGUGGGAACUUGAGGGCCACCAUCCCGGAGGCCCAGAGCAUGUGAGUGGCUGUGUGGGCCCAGGAAGCCAGGAUCCCCCUGGUGCCACCUCUCCCAGUCACCUGCCCUCAGAACCUAGAGCCGGAAAAGGUCUCCAACUGGCAGCCAGCAGCCCAGUCAAGACCAGGGAUGGGUUCAGUGUGACCCCGGAGUGUUUUGUUUGAUGUGUGUGUGUUUAAGUGAAUUUACUGCCAACAUUUAAAAAUCAGGAGAUUUCACAUCAAAAUUCAGAUUUCCAGCUCCUCUUUUAAAACCUGAAGAUGUGGGCUGGGCCCACGUGGCCACAUGGUGGUGGGCAGAAGCCAGGCGGGGGUGGGGAAGGAACAGGCACUUUCCUACCUGGGACACACGUCCUCCUCUGCCCCCAAACUGCUUCUCAGAAUUCCUCCUCCCUGUCCCUGCAGCUUUUCCCUAGCCCAUUUUCAAGAGGGGAAAACUGAGGCAA